Lagenorhynchus albirostris (white-beaked dolphin) is the source of this 1109-nucleotide long non-coding RNA. RefSeq lists it as uncharacterized. The record is from RefSeq and is a predicted model, not a curated record. NCBI's taxonomy places the organism in Eukaryota, Metazoa, Chordata, Mammalia, Artiodactyla, Delphinidae. The transcript has 2 exons.
CCGGACUCUCCCCUCGCCUCGCCGGGCCGGGGCCGCGCUCGGGCGCCCGCGACCGCCAAGUGACAGAAGUGCCUCGUUCCGCUGCCGCGCCGAGCUGUUUCCCGGGGGCGGAUUUCUCGCUUCUUCCUCCCUGGAUCCACCUCCUCCCACUCCACCUCCUUCCCCUCCCCUCCCCAGGGGAGGCUCUGGGGUUGAAUGUUUUCUGUCUUGAAUAAUAUGGUCCCGGGAACCGACGCUGGAGAAGGGGGAUUAGCCUGGGGCGGGGGCGGGGACGGGGGGUGCUCGCCAACCCCCCCAAUGUGUGUCGGCACCUACAAACCCUCACCACCACCCCCAACACCUCCCCAAAAACCAGACACACAAAAUCCUCCCCGCCUUCUCCAGUCUCCCGAGCGCAGAGCGGGAGCGGCCAGGAACCCGGGCUUCCACUGGGGAAGGGACUAGGUACUUGGCGUCAGGGCCGGGGAGGGGGUCGAUCAUACGGCUAGACUCGCAGAAUUGGGUCCCAGACUGCGGGGGACACGCCCGGGGCAGCUGAACAAUUCGGCGCAGCUAGCGGAACUGAGGAAAGGUGGCUGCGCUUCUCCACACAGCAGGUCGCAGCAGCGCGGGGUCCCGGGCCCAACCGCCGCCCCUCCCCGCCCGAUUCCGGGGCUUCGCCCCAGACCCCCGGCGGCUCGCUCCGCCCCGCCGCGCCUCACAACAUCUCCCGCUGCAAAUGGCCCAAUCGGAAGACGCGACGAGAAUUCCAGCCAAUCAGAGGCAGCUGACUCAGGCGUCCCUCCACCCUUUGCCCGCCCCCAGUAGGAAAGCCACCGCCCCUCAGGCUCCCCUUCCCACCCCGCUCCCCUCCGGGGAGGUGUCUCACAGCUCCUGUCCUCGCCGGGCUGGAGUGGAGGACCCCGCCGCGGUGGCGGGGUUUGUCACCUAGUCACCCUCAUCCUCGCCUCCUCCCAGACACACCCCUCCUCCCUUUCCCAGUCCUCCUGCUGGUGCUGUUGAGGGUCAUUUUUAUCUUCGUGCCGGCGGGGGACUGCCCGCUAUUGUGUCUGAUCAGCUGCCACCGCCCUCCUAAGGGGAAAAAUAAAAGAACAAACCCGAGAAGCUUU